RNAcentral lists this ribosomal RNA (2834 nucleotides) under Staphylococcus aureus. RNAcentral's name for it is "bacterial LSU rRNA". It matches the Rfam family "Bacterial large subunit ribosomal RNA". The record is from RNAcentral. Lineage: Bacteria; Bacillati; Bacillota; Bacilli; Caryophanales; Staphylococcaceae.
GAUUAAGUUAUUAAGGGCGCACGGUGGAUGCCUUGGCACUAGAAGCCGAUGAAGGACGUUACUAACGACGAUAUGCUUUGGGGAGCUGUAAGUAAGCUUUGAUCCAGAGAUUUCCGAAUGGGGAAACCCAGCAUGAGUUAUGUCAUGUUAUCGAUAUGUGAAUACAUAGCAUAUCAGAAGGCACACCCGGAGAACUGAAACAUCUUAGUACCCGGAGGAAGAGAAAGAAAAUUCGAUUCCCUUAGUAGCGGCGAGCGAAACGGGAAGAGCCCAAACCAACAAGCUUGCUUGUUGGGGUUGUAGGACACUCUAUACGGAGUUACAAAGGACGACAUUAGACGAAUCAUCUGGAAAGAUGAAUCAAAGAAGGUAAUAAUCCUGUAGUCGAAAAUGUUGUCUCUCUUGAGUGGAUCCUGAGUACGACGGAGCACGUGAAAUUCCGUCGGAAUCUGGGAGGACCAUCUCCUAAGGCUAAAUACUCUCUAGUGACCGAUAGUGAACCAGUACCGUGAGGGAAAGGUGAAAAGCACCCCGGAAGGGGAGUGAAAUAGAACCUGAAACCGUGUGCUUACAAGUAGUCAGAGCCCGUUAAUGGGUGAUGGCGUGCCUUUUGUAGAAUGAACCGGCGAGUUACGAUUUGAUGCAAGGUUAAGCAGUAAAUGUGGAGCCGUAGCGAAAGCGAGUCUGAAUAGGGCGUUUAGUAUUUGGUCGUAGACCCGAAACCAGGUGAUCUACCCUUGGUCAGGUUGAAGUUCAGGUAACACUGAAUGGAGGACCGAACCGACUUACGUUGAAAAGUGAGCGGAUGAACUGAGGGUAGCGGAGAAAUUCCAAUCGAACCUGGAGAUAGCUGGUUCUCUCCGAAAUAGCUUUAGGGCUAGCCUCAAGUGAUGAUUAUUGGAGGUAGAGCACUGUUUGGACGAGGGGCCCCUCUCGGGUUACCGAAUUCAGACAAACUCCGAAUGCCAAUUAAUUUAACUUGGGAGUCAGAACAUGGGUGAUAAGGUCCGUGUUCGAAAGGGAAACAGCCCAGACCACCAGCUAAGGUCCCAAAAUAUAUGUUAAGUGGAAAAGGAUGUGGCGUUGCCCAGACAACUAGGAUGUUGGCUUAGAAGCAGCCAUCAUUUAAAGAGUGCGUAAUAGCUCACUAGUCGAGUGACACUGCGCCGAAAAUGUACCGGGGCUAAACAUAUUACCGAAGCUGUGGAUUGUCCUUUGGACAAUGGUAGGAGAGCGUUCUAAGGGCGUUGAAGCAUGAUCGUAAGGACAUGUGGAGCGCUUAGAAGUGAGAAUGCCGGUGUGAGUAGCGAAAGACGGGUGAGAAUCCCGUCCACCGAUUGACUAAGGUUUCCAGAGGAAGGCUCGUCCGCUCUGGGUUAGUCGGGUCCUAAGCUGAGGCCGACAGGCGUAGGCGAUGGAUAACAGGUUGAUAUUCCUGUACCACCUAUAAUCGUUUUAAUCGAUGGGGGGACGCAGUAGGAUAGGCGAAGCGUGCGAUUGGAUUGCACGUCUAAGCAGUAAGGCUGAGUAUUAGGCAAAUCCGGUACUCGUUAAGGCUGAGCUGUGAUGGGGAGAAGACAUUGUGUCUUCGAGUCGUUGAUUUCACACUGCCGAGAAAAGCCUCUAGAUAGAAAAUAGGUGCCCGUACCGCAAACCGACACAGGUAGUCAAGAUGAGAAUUCUAAGGUGAGCGAGCGAACUCUCGUUAAGGAACUCGGCAAAAUGACCCCGUAACUUCGGGAGAAGGGGUGCUCUUUAGGGUUAACGCCCAGAAGAGCCGCAGUGAAUAGGCCCAAGCGACUGUUUAUCAAAAACACAGGUCUCUGCUAAACCGUAAGGUGAUGUAUAGGGGCUGACGCCUGCCCGGUGCUGGAAGGUUAAGAGGAGUGGUUAGCUUCUGCGAAGCUACGAAUCGAAGCCCCAGUAAACGGCGGCCGUAACUAUAACGGUCCUAAGGUAGCGAAAUUCCUUGUCGGGUAAGUUCCGACCCGCACGAAAGGCGUAACGAUUUGGGCACUGUCUCAACGAGAGACUCGGUGAAAUCAUAGUACCUGUGAAGAUGCAGGUUACCCGCGACAGGACGGAAAGACCCCGUGGAGCUUUACUGUAGCCUGAUAUUGAAAUUCGGCACAGCUUGUACAGGAUAGGUAGGAGCCUUUGAAACGUGAGCGCUAGCUUACGUGGAGGCGCUGGUGGGAUACUACCCUAGCUGUGUUGGCUUUCUAACCCGCACCACUUAUCGUGGUGGGAGACAGUGUCAGGCGGGCAGUUUGACUGGGGCGGUCGCCUCCUAAAAGGUAACGGAGGCGCUCAAAGGUUCCCUCAGAAUGGUUGGAAAUCAUUCAUAGAGUGUAAAGGCAUAAGGGAGCUUGACUGCGAGACCUACAAGUCGAGCAGGGUCGAAAGACGGACUUAGUGAUCCGGUGGUUCCGCAUGGAAGGGCCAUCGCUCAACGGAUAAAAGCUACCCCGGGGAUAACAGGCUUAUCUCCCCCAAGAGUUCACAUCGACGGGGAGGUUUGGCACCUCGAUGUCGGCUCAUCGCAUCCUGGGGCUGUAGUCGGUCCCAAGGGUUGGGCUGUUCGCCCAUUAAAGCGGUACGCGAGCUGGGUUCAGAACGUCGUGAGACAGUUCGGUCCCUAUCCGUCGUGGGCGUAGGAAAUUUGAGAGGAGCUGUCCUUAGUACGAGAGGACCGGGAUGGACAUACCUCUGGUGUACCAGUUGUCGUGCCAACGGCAUAGCUGGGUAGCUAUGUAUGGACGGGAUAAGUGCUGAAAGCAUCUAAGCAUGAAGCCCCCCUCAAGAUGAGAUUUCCCAACUUCGGUUAUAAGAUC